This 433-nucleotide ribosomal RNA is filed under the name uncultured bacterium. RNAcentral describes it as "partial 16S ribosomal RNA". It matches the Rfam family "Bacterial small subunit ribosomal RNA", at positions 29 to 507 of the family's 1533-position model. The record is from RNAcentral.
AACGAACGCUGGCGGCAUGCCUAACACAUGCAAGUCGAACGAGACCUUCGGGUCUAGUGGCGCACGGGUGCGUAACGCGUGGGAACCUGCCUUUAGGUUCGGAAUAACUCAGAGGAAUUUGAGCUAAUACCGGAUGAUGUCUUCGGACCAAAGAUUUAUCGCCUUUAGAUGGGCCCGCGUUGGAUUAGCUAGUUGGUGGGGUAAAGGCCUACCAAGGCGACGAUCCAUAGCUGGUCUGAGAGGAUGAUCAGCCACACUGGGACUGAGACACGGCCCAGACUCCUACGGGAGGCAGCAGUGGGGAAUAUUGGACAAUGGGCGAAAGCCUGAUCCAGCAAUGCCGCGUGAGUGAUGAAGGCCUUAGGGUUGUAAAGCUCUUUUACCCGAGAUGAUAAUGACAGUAUCGGGAGAAUAAGCUCCGGCUAACUCCGUG